UACGUAGGCAGCAAGCGUUGUUCGGAGUUACUGGGCGUAAAGGGUGCGUAGGCGGCUUUUUAAGUCUGGUGUGAAAUCUCCCGGCUCAACUGGGAGGGUGCGCCGGAUACUGAGGGGCUAGAGUGUGGGAGAGGAAAGUGGAAUUCCUGGUGUAGCGGUGAAAUGCGUAGAUAUCAGGAGGAACACCGGUGGUGUAAACGGCUUUCUGGACCAUUGCUGACGCUGAGACACGAAAGCGUGGGUAGCAAACAGG
This 253-nucleotide ribosomal RNA is filed under the name uncultured bacterium. RNAcentral describes it as "partial 16S ribosomal RNA". It matches the Rfam family "Bacterial small subunit ribosomal RNA", at positions 524 to 776 of the family's 1533-position model. The record is from RNAcentral.